This 468-nucleotide ribosomal RNA is filed under the name uncultured bacterium. Its description in RNAcentral is "partial 16S ribosomal RNA". It matches the Rfam family "Bacterial small subunit ribosomal RNA", at positions 28 to 507 of the family's 1533-position model. The record is from RNAcentral.
GAUGAACGCUGGCGGCGUGCUUAACACAUGCAAGUCGAACGGGAAGGCCUUUUUUUUGUGGGGUGCUCGAGUGGCGCACGGAUGAGUCACCCGUGAGUAACCUAACCAUGACUUUGGGAUAACUUUAGGACCCUGGGGCCAAUACCGGAUAGGAGCUCAUGCUGCUUGGUGGGGGCUGGCAAGUUACGGCGGUUGGGGAUGGACUCGCGGCUUAUCAGCUUGUUGGUGGGGUAGUGGCUUACCAAGGCUUUGACGGGUAGCCGGCCGGAGAGGGUGACCGGCCACAUUGGGACUGAGGUGCGGCGCAGACUCCUACGGGGGGCAGCAGUGGGGAAUAAUGCACAAUGGGCGGAGGCCUGAUGCAGCAACGCCGCGUGCGGGAUGACGGCGUUCGAGUGGUAAACCGCUUUCGCCUGUGACGAAGCAUGAGUGACGGUAAUGGGUAAAGAAGCACCGGCUAACUACGUG